GAACCAAAUGAGUCCAAUUUACUAAAAAGAAAAAUAUUUUUUUCAGAUCCCAACUCCAUUGUUAUAUUCUUGGAGAGCAGAAUAUUAAAAGCUCUACAGAACUGAGAGUAAAUUUUUGCUUUCAUACGGACCAGCACAUUUCACGGCAAUGAAGUAAAGCAAUCUGAAGGACAAGUACAGGUACAAAACAGAAACAAGUAAACGAGGCAGCAUAUUUCAUGCCAGACCAUGCUUUGUCCCCCACCCUGUUCAGCAUUUCCCUCUGCAGUAACCGAGAGACUUUGAUGGUGCUCAUUACCUGUUUUGAGGCUGGGACUGAACU
Trachemys scripta elegans is the source of this 322-nucleotide long non-coding RNA. RefSeq lists it as uncharacterized. The transcript is spliced from 3 exons. Lineage: Eukaryota; Metazoa; Chordata; Testudines; Emydidae. The record is from RefSeq and is a predicted model, not a curated record.